UUAAUACAUGCAAGUCGAACGCACGAAGUUGAAGAGCUUGCUCUUUAACCAAGUGAGUGGCGGACGGGUGAGUAACACGUGGGUAACCUGCCCAUUAGAGGGGGAUAACAUUCGGAAACGGAUGCUAAUACCGCAUAGUUUCAGGAAUCGCAUGAUUCUUGAAGGAAAGGUGGCUUCGGCUACCACUAAUGGAUGGACCCGCGGCGUAUUAGCUAGUUGGUGAGGUAAUGGCUCACCAAGGCAAUGAUACGUAGCCGACCUGAGAGGGUGAUCGGCCACACUGGGACUGAGACACGGCCCAGACUCCUACGGGAGGCAGCAGUAGGGAAUCUUCCGCAAUGGACGAAAGUCUGACGGAGCAACGCCGCGUGAGUGAAGAAGGUUUUCGGAUCGUAAAACUCUGUUGUUAAAGAAGAACAAGGAUGAGAGUAACUGCUCAUCCCCUGACGGUAUUUAACCAGAAAGCCACGGCUAACUACGUGCCAGCAGCCGCGGUAAUACGUAGGUGGCAAAGCGUUGUCCGGAUUUAUUGGGCGUAAAGCGAGCGCAGGCGGUUCUUUAAGUCUGAUGUGAAAGCCCCCGGCUCAACCGGGGAGGGUCAUUGGAAACUGGAGAACUUGAGUGCAGAAGAGGAGAGUGGAAUUCCACGUGUAGCGGUGAAAUGCGUAGAUAUGUGGAGGAACACCAGUGGCGAAGGCGACUCUCUGGUCUGUAACUUGACGCUUGAGGCUCGAAAGCUGUGGGGAGCAAACAGGAUUAGAUACCCUGGUAGUCCACGCCGUAAACGAUGAGUGCUAAGUGUUGGAGGGUUUCCGCCCUUCAGUGCUGCAGCUAACGCAUUAAGCACUCCGCCUGGGGAGUACG
This 864-nucleotide ribosomal RNA is filed under the name Carnobacterium maltaromaticum. Its description in RNAcentral is "bacterial SSU rRNA". It matches the Rfam family "Bacterial small subunit ribosomal RNA", at positions 48 to 884 of the family's 1533-position model. The record is from RNAcentral. Lineage: Bacteria; Bacillati; Bacillota; Bacilli; Lactobacillales; Carnobacteriaceae.